RNAcentral lists this long non-coding RNA (469 nucleotides) under Pongo abelii (Sumatran orangutan). RNAcentral's name for it is "bidirectional promoter lncRNA". Lineage: Eukaryota; Metazoa; Chordata; Mammalia; Primates; Hominidae. The record is from RNAcentral.
CUGGCCUUGGGAAAGUGAAUUGGCCUGAAUAUCAAGGAGGAGAACUUGGGUGUGGAAAUACCGGAAUCUCACUGUAUCGCUCAGGCUGGAGUGCAGUGGCCACAAAGUGGGAGAUUGGCACGAGGGACACCAACACUGGAAUACUUGAUGAGAUGUGUGAAGAGCAUGGCAAUGGAUGCAAACUCCCUUUGUGUUUCUGGCUUUAAGCAGCUCUGUACUCUCAUGCUCUCCUACACUCAGCAGCAAUUUGUUACAAGUUUGGCGAAAUUCUUCCUACUCUUUUGAACUCCAGCCCAAUUUCCUUACUGUCACUGCCCUAGGUCUUACUCUUCCAGAAGAAAAAGGGAAAACUGAACCUGAAUGUCCCCUAAAAGUGAAGAAAUGUCCACACUUCUAUGUGCAGAUUAGUAUCUACAUACAGACCUCUUAGAGGAGUCAGACAAACAAGAUCUUGAAUCUUUACUGAUCU